RNAcentral lists this ribosomal RNA (254 nucleotides) under uncultured bacterium. RNAcentral's name for it is "partial 16S ribosomal RNA". It matches the Rfam family "Bacterial small subunit ribosomal RNA", at positions 524 to 776 of the family's 1533-position model. The record is from RNAcentral.
UACGUAGGGUGCAAGCGUUAUCCGGAAUUAUUGGGCGUAAAGAGCUCGUAGGCGGUUUGUCGCGUCUGCUGUGAAAACCCGAGGCUCAACCUCGGGCCUGCAGUGGGUACGGGCAGACUAGAGUGGCGGUAGGGGAGAUUGGAAUUCCUGGUGUAGCGGUGGAAUGCGCAGAUAUCAGGAGGAACACCGAUGGCGAAGGCAGAUCUCUGGGCCAUAACUGACGCUGAGAAGCGAAAGCAUGGGGAGCGAACAGG